CUCACACAGGUUAUUCAGACAGGCAGAAAUUGUUGAGAGUCAGUUCUGAAUUUAGGACUAAACCCAUGUUACUGGCUUUCAAGACCUGAGUUCAAGGCUGGGCUCCGACCUUGUGUUUUCAUAGCACAUCCCAGGUACCUGCAGACUUUCUUGGUUUGAUUGCCAAAAAACUGGAAACACCUGGAAAAUUCUCAGAAAUCUGCUGUUUUCAAACCGAAGUCUCUUGUUCCAAUUUCAG
This 238-nucleotide long non-coding RNA is filed under the name Mus spicilegus (steppe mouse). Its description in RNAcentral is "lncRNA (ENSMSIG00000010141.1)". Lineage: Eukaryota; Metazoa; Chordata; Mammalia; Rodentia; Muridae. The record is from RNAcentral.